GACGAACGCUGGCGGCGUGCUUAACACAUGCAAGUCGAACGGAAAGGCCCUGCUUUUGUGGGGUGCUCGAGUGGCGAACGGGUGAGUAACACGUGAGUAACCUGCCCUUGACUUUGGGAUAACUUCAGGAAACUGGGGCUAAUACCGGAUAGGAGCUCCUGCUGCAUGGUGGGGGUUGGAAAGUUUCGGCGGUUGGGGAUGGACUCGCGGCUUAUCAGCUUGUUGGUGGGGUAGUGGCUUACCAAGGCUUUGACGGGUAGCCGGCCUGAGAGGGUGACCGGCGAAAGUGGGAAUGAGAGACGGCGCAGACGACGACGGGAGGCAGGAGGGGGGAAUAUUGGACAAUGGGCGGAAGCCGGAUGCAGCAACGGCGAGGGCGGGAUGACGGCCUUAGGGGUGUAAAACACAUGCGACGGUGAAGAAGAGGGAGUGAGGGGAAGGGGUAAAGGAGCAACGGCUAACUACGU
Molecule: ribosomal RNA, 467 nt
Filed under: uncultured bacterium
Lineage: Bacteria
Description: partial 16S ribosomal RNA
Rfam family: Bacterial small subunit ribosomal RNA
Source: RNAcentral